RNAcentral lists this ribosomal RNA (277 nucleotides) under uncultured bacterium. RNAcentral describes it as "partial 16S ribosomal RNA". It matches the Rfam family "Bacterial small subunit ribosomal RNA", at positions 355 to 626 of the family's 1533-position model. The record is from RNAcentral.
UGGGGAAUAUUGCACAAUGGGCGCAAGCCUGAUGCAGCCAUGCCGCGUGUGUGAAGAAGGCCUUCGGGUUGUAAAGCACUUUCAGCGAGGAGGAAGGGUAGUGUGUUAAUAGCACAUUGCAUUGACGUUACUCGCAGAAGAAGCACCGGCUAACUCCGUGCCAGCAGCCGCGGUAAUACGGAGGGUGCAAGCGUUAAUCGGAAUUACUGGGCGUAAAGCGCACGCAGGCGGUUUGUUAAGUCAGAUGUGAAAUCCCGCGCUUAACGUGGAACUGCAU